This 29-nucleotide non-coding RNA is filed under the name Rattus norvegicus (Norway rat). The record is from RNAcentral. Lineage: Eukaryota; Metazoa; Chordata; Mammalia; Rodentia; Muridae.
CGACUAUAUAUGCCCGUGUGUAUAAAUGC